GGAAAUCUUAAGUCAGUAAGAUAAAAUGUACAGAAGCAAGGGUAAUCCAGGAAUGGUUUUGUAAUACAUUUCAAAAUUGCAUAGAUCUCAAAAGACUAAUCCACUAAGUCUAAAAGACUGAUGUCUGCCUAAAAGAUAGACAUUGAGCCACACAUGUCAACGUUCCCAAAUUGAAAUGUAGAAUUGAACGAUGAAGAAACAGAAAGAUAUCCUGAAACUCAAGUAUGAACACGUGCGCUUCAUUCAGUUCCUGGUGUAAUAAACUGGAAAUACCCUCUCUAAGACGUAUGAGAUCUGUUCAUCAUCUUCUGAUACCCUCAAAACAGCUGGUUAAAAAAUUGUCCUACUACCGCACUUCAAUAAAAAGAAAAGCAAAUGGAGAAAACUCCUAAUAGCCCUCUCUCCAAAAGAGUGACUCCAGAAGGUCUUUAACAUUUUUGCUACCAUUGCAUUUCCGGCCACGGUCAUCAGCAGUGAUGAAGGGUUCAUAAAUUAUCCAUUUUCUCCAUUUCAGGAAAAUCAUAAGGUAAAUCCACAAAUAUGUAGAUAGUAUUUUUCAGUAAAUCAUCAUAUGCUACUAAUGUUAUCUAACAAAUUAGAAAGAAACUUGAGGAAUACCUUCUGAUAGACAACCCCAGUGUUGGUUGCUCAAAGAGAGCAAAGAAGUGAAUAAGGCUGAGGCAGUAACAGAGUGCAUUGGCAUCAAAGAUAGUGCACCAGCCAAUUCUACAGGAAGC
Molecule: long non-coding RNA, 737 nt
Filed under: Carica papaya (papaya)
Lineage: Eukaryota; Viridiplantae; Streptophyta; Magnoliopsida; Brassicales; Caricaceae
Description: long non-coding RNA (CPAP_LNC007828)
Source: RNAcentral